This 252-nucleotide ribosomal RNA is filed under the name uncultured bacterium. RNAcentral describes it as "partial 16S ribosomal RNA". It matches the Rfam family "Bacterial small subunit ribosomal RNA", at positions 524 to 776 of the family's 1533-position model. The record is from RNAcentral.
UACGAGAGGCCCAAACGUUAUUCGGAAUUACUGGGCUUAAAGAGUUCGUAGGCGGCGCAGAAAGUAGGGUGUGAAAGCCCUCGGCUCAACCGAGGAAUUGCGCUCUAAACUACUGUGCUUGAGGAAUCUAGAGGUAGCGGAACUGAUGGUGGAGCGGUGAAAUGCGUUGAUAUCAUCAGGAACACCGGAGGCGAAGGCGGCUCACUGGGGAUUUUCUGACGCUGAGGAACGAAAGCCAGGGGAGCGAACGGG